Molecule: long non-coding RNA, 2013 nt
Organism: Puntigrus tetrazona (Sumatra barb)
Lineage: Eukaryota; Metazoa; Chordata; Actinopteri; Cypriniformes; Cyprinidae
Exons: 4
Source: RefSeq, a predicted model, not a curated record
CACGAAAUGACGACUUUUCGCUGCACCUGUGGACCUGCGACACUUCAUCACUGACUGAUUGGAAAUCUGAGCUGAGAGAAUUCCUCGAGAAUAGGAACAAAAACAAUAGAAAGCCUGCUAGGCUGCAAAGAACCUAGAUGAAAUAAACACAAUAAUGUCCUCACACCGCCUUAUGAUUCUCCAUUGGGUUAAACCAGUGCAGUGCCUUAAGUGACUUUAAUUAGUAUCCUGCAGGUGCAAUGGAAAAACGAGCAGCGUUAUCAAUAAAAAGGAAGAUGUGCUUGCUAACUACACAUCCUGACUUCAUAUUUGGAAUUUGAUUAUUAUUUUAAGUAGCCAUCGCAUUAUUUAUUAUAACAGAUAUGAGUUUGCAGGUCGUUUGCUCAGAAGACGUCCCGAGGUCAUCAGAUGAAUAUGUCAGUUUACAGUUUGGAAAACAGACCCGAUGGAUUUCAUAAUCACAAGGCGAACACUGAUAUUGGGUGUUAGCUUGAAAUGCGGCGGACUCAGUUCCUAUAUUUAUCACUCGAAUCAGCCUGACUCAUGAUCUGUCACUGGCGGGUCAAUAAGUGUCAGUCAUAUCUAGUCAAAGUCAUCUGAACCUUUCGGCGUGGGAUAUUACAGUAAGUUCCACACCCAGAGAAUCAAGCUCAGCUGAUGGUAAAGCUCGGUUGAGUUGCUGUAAACUAACCUCGACGCAGCCGGUCAGGAUGGGAGUUUGUGGAUCUAAGCGCUCUGAGUCACGGCCGCCCGGCUGUUUGCAAGUACAGGAGCACACAGCCGCUCCUGAUGGGUUCAUAGGUCACUCUCAUGACCCUAGGGCACACAAAAUGUUCAGCGGCUACAGCACGGAGAAUUCCACGUUUGUCCAUGUGGUGUAGCACAACGGUGUCAGGUCACAUGGUGUAUUGUCAGCCAGCAGGCAGUUCGAUUCUAAAACUAGCCCCAGCAAGCUGGGGAGCUGUUCAAAUGUGAGUCAGAAGUUGCUCACCAAUUCUCCAUAACCGCUUAUCCUUCAUUCAUUUUAUUUGACCCUAUUAUGCAUCUUUAAUGUAUUUAAUGUGUUGUGCAACCUUGGUGAGCAUGAAAUGUGAAAUGGUAGUUUAUGCCCACUUGGCUGUAUUGUUUAUUCUGUGCCCGUUUAGAACAGUUCCUGAUGUUCUCUCUGAACGCCACAAUUAAAGCUCAGAGAAGGUCAGGAUGGAAUCCACGACCAUUUCAAGGACUGACAAGACAAAUAAGCAAACACAGGAGUAACAACAGACAUCCGAAGAACCUUAGACUGGUUUGGAGCUCAUUGUGGCACAUUUUACACAUAAUGCAGACGUUCGUGAAAAGUUCCCCGAUAUUAGCAGGAGCUAGAAACAAACCCGCUAUUAAGGCAAGUUCCUUUACAUUGUUGCUUCUAAUCAAGCUCCAUGUCCAUUCCUGUUGUUCUCACAUCAAAAUCCACCACAUAACUAUUUAGAACUGGAAUUUGCUUCUUAAAAAUACAAAGCCUUUCACUUCACAAGAUGUUAGCUGUUGGAUUUGUGGAUCGUUAUACUCUCAUACUGGCACCCAUCCGCUGCAGAAGACUCAUUGUUGAGCAAGUAAUGCAAUGCAAUAUUUACCCAAAUCUGUUCAGGAGAUCAUACAAACUUGUCUACAUCUUGCAUGGCCCGAGAAUGAGUUUUUAUUUUGGGUAAAUCAUUCCCAUUCCUUUAAAACUAAGUCAUUAACCGGAGAGAAAUAGGCAGAUGAUUCCGACAGGUAACAGAAGUAAGAUUUUUAUCACAAUAUGACUAAAAACUCAGCUGCGAAGACUGGUACACAUAUAAUUGUCAAAAGCCAGACAGAUUUGAUUAAAAGUGUUUAAUUGAACUGCCGAGAAGAUUAUGCAUGGAGGUUAGAAUCAGUUGCAUAAUGUUUAUAUUUGCCAAAUGUGGCAGUGUAUUAAAUAAUUGAUUAAACUCUGCACGGGGCACAAGAUGACUCAUGAUGCUGAGCAGAGCAAGCCAGUUCAGAUUCUUA